UACGUGGGGUGCAAGCGUUGUUCGGAAUUACUGGGCGUAAAGCGCGUGUAGGCUGCUUUUUAUGUCAGGUGUGAAAGCCCUCGGCCUAACCGAGGAAGUGCGCCUGAAACUGAAAAGCUUGAGUACGAGAGAGGGGGACGGAAUUCCCAGUGUAGAGGUGAAAUUCGUAGAUAUUGGGAGGAACACCGGCGGCGAAAGCGGUUCCCUGGAUCGAUACUGACGCUAAGACGCGAAAGCGUGGGGAUCAAACAGG
RNAcentral lists this ribosomal RNA (253 nucleotides) under uncultured bacterium. Its description in RNAcentral is "partial 16S ribosomal RNA". It matches the Rfam family "Bacterial small subunit ribosomal RNA", at positions 524 to 776 of the family's 1533-position model. The record is from RNAcentral.